This 448-nucleotide ribosomal RNA is filed under the name uncultured bacterium. RNAcentral's name for it is "partial 16S ribosomal RNA". It matches the Rfam family "Bacterial small subunit ribosomal RNA", at positions 330 to 793 of the family's 1533-position model. The record is from RNAcentral.
CCCAGACUCCUACGGGAGGCAGCAGUGGGGAAUAUUGCACAAUGGGGGGAACCCUGAUGCAGCGACGCCGCGUGGGCGAGGAAGUAUUUCGGUAUGUAAAGCCCUAUCGGCAGGGAAGAAGAAAUGACGGUACCUGAAUAAGAAGCACCGGCUAAAUACGUGCCAGCAGCCGCGGGAAUACGUAUGGUGCAAGCGUUAUCCGGAUUUACUGGGCGUAAAGGGAGCGCAGGCGGCGCGCCAAGUCUGAUGUGAAACCCCGGGGCUCAACCCCGGGCAUGCAUUGGAAACUGGCGGGCUGGAGUGCCGGAGAGGUAAGCGGAAUUCCUAGUGUAGCGGUGAAAUGCGUAGAUAUCAGGAGGAACACCGGUGGCGAAGGCGGCCUGCUGGACUGCGACUGACGUUGAGGCCCGAAAGCGUGGGGAGCAAACAGGAUUAGAUACCCCGGUAC